This 70-nucleotide transfer RNA is filed under the name Toxeutes arcuatus. RNAcentral's name for it is "tRNA-Val". The record is from RNAcentral. Lineage: Eukaryota; Metazoa; Arthropoda; Insecta; Coleoptera; Cerambycidae.
CUGGCUAGAGCUUGAGAUAAAGCGUUUUAUUUACACUAAAAAGUUAAUUGUGAAAUUCAAUUUGGCUUGA